This 254-nucleotide ribosomal RNA is filed under the name uncultured bacterium. RNAcentral describes it as "partial 16S ribosomal RNA". It matches the Rfam family "Bacterial small subunit ribosomal RNA", at positions 524 to 776 of the family's 1533-position model. The record is from RNAcentral.
UACGAAGGGGGGCUAGCGUUGCUCGGAAUACUGGGCGUAAAGCGUGCGCAGGCGGUGAUGUAAGACAGAUGUGAAAUCCCCGGGCUCAACCUGGGAACUGCAUUUGUGACUGCAUCGCUGGAGUGCGGCAGAGGGGGGAUGGAAUUCCGCGUGUAGCAGUGAAAUGCGUAGAUAUGCGGAGGAACACCGAUGGCGAAGGCAAUCCCCUGGGCCUGCACUGACGCUCAUGCACGAAAGCGUGGGGAGCAAACAGG